This 376-nucleotide long non-coding RNA is filed under the name Nicotiana benthamiana. Its description in RNAcentral is "long non-coding RNA (NBEN_LNC020564)". The record is from RNAcentral. Lineage: Eukaryota; Viridiplantae; Streptophyta; Magnoliopsida; Solanales; Solanaceae.
UUGUUCUGCAAUUGACCCAAUACAUAAGCAACCUCAUGCUUUAAUAGAGCACUCGUUGAACCUAAAGAUUCAAUAAUUGCAGAGAUAGCUUCCUCUCCUCCAAUGUUUCGUAGUGCAAAGAGAGCAGCAUAGCGUUCGUACAUGCCCUUUUCUUCACUCAAAAGAACUUCCGUUAGAUCCUCAACAGAGGAAUAAGCAGCAGGAGCAGCUGGGUCUACUGACAGAAAGGGUGACGACACCACUGGUAGUGCAAAGAGAGCAGCAUAGCGUUCAUACAUGCCCUUUUCUUCACUCAAAAGAACUUCCGUUAGAUCCUCAACAGAGGAAUAAGCAGCAGGAGCAGCUGGGUCUACUGACAGAAAGGGUGACGACACCA